Molecule: ribosomal RNA, 497 nt
Filed under: uncultured bacterium
Lineage: Bacteria
Description: partial 16S ribosomal RNA
Rfam family: Bacterial small subunit ribosomal RNA
Source: RNAcentral
GAUGAACGCUGGCGGCGUGCCUAAUACAUGCAAGUCGAGCGAAAGGACGAGAAGCUUGCUGCGCUGAUGUUAGCGGAGGAGGGGAGAGAAACACGUGGAAAACCUCCCUAUAAGACUGGGAUAACUACGGGAAACCGGAGAUAAUCCGGGAUAAUAUUUUGAAGCGCAGGGUGGAAAGGAAAAAGACGGUCUUGCUGUCACUAAUAGAUGGAUACGCGCUGCAUUAGCUAGUUGGUAAGGUAACGGCUUACCAAGGCAACGAGGUGUAGCCGACCUGAGAGGGUGGUCGGCCGCCCUGGAGCUUGAACACCGUCCUUGCUCCUACGGGAGGCAGCAGUAUCGAAUCUUCCGCAAUGGUCGAAAGCCUUACGCAGCAACGCCGCGUGUGUUAUGAAGGUCUUCCGUUCGUAAUACUCUGUUUUUAGUUAUGAACAUAUUUGUAAUUAACUGUGCACAUCUUGACGGUACCUAAUCAGAAAGCUACGGCUAACUACGUG